UUAAAUUGAAGAGUUUGAUCAUGGCUCAGAUUGAACGCUGGCGGCAGGCCUAACACAUGCAAGUCGAACGGUAACAGAAAGCAGCUUGCUGCUUUGCUGACGAGUGGCGGACGGGUGAGUAAUGUCUGGGAAACUGCCUGAUGGAGGGGGAUAACUACUGGAAACGGUAGCUAAUACCGCAUAACGUCGCAAGACCAAAGAGGGGGACCUUCGGGCCUCUUGCCAUCGGAUGUGCCCAGAUGGGAUUAGCUUGUUGGUGGGGUAACGGCUCACCAAGGCGACGAUCCCUAGCUGGUCUGAGAGGAUGACCAGCCACACUGGAACUGAGACACGGUCCAGACUCCUACGGGAGGCAGCAGUGGGGAAUAUUGCACAAUGGGCGCAAGCCUGAUGCAGCCAUGCCGCGUGUAUGAAGAAGGCCUUCGGGUUGUAAAGUACUUUCAGCGGGGAGGAAGGGAGUAAAGUUAAUACCUUUGCUCAUUGACGUUACCCGCAGAAGAAGCACCGGCUAACUCCGUGCCAGCAGCCGCGGUA
Molecule: ribosomal RNA, 534 nt
Filed under: Escherichia coli
Lineage: Bacteria; Pseudomonadati; Pseudomonadota; Gammaproteobacteria; Enterobacterales; Enterobacteriaceae
Description: bacterial SSU rRNA
Rfam family: Bacterial small subunit ribosomal RNA
Source: RNAcentral